UACGUAGGGGGCAAGCGUUGUCCGGAUUUAUUGGGCGUAAAAGGCUUGUAGGUGGCCACGCCAGGUCGGAUGGGAAAUCUCCCGGCUCAACUGGGAGGGGUCAUUCGAUACUGGCGGGCUCGAGGCCGGUAGGGGGAAGUGGAAUUCCCGGUGUAGUGGUGGAAUGCGUAGAUAUCGGGAGGAACACCAGUGGCGAAGGCGGCUUCCUGGACCGGUUCUGACACUGAGGAGCGAAAGCGUGGGGAGCGAUCCGG
Molecule: ribosomal RNA, 254 nt
Filed under: uncultured bacterium
Lineage: Bacteria
Description: partial 16S ribosomal RNA
Rfam family: Bacterial small subunit ribosomal RNA
Source: RNAcentral